RNAcentral lists this ribosomal RNA (402 nucleotides) under uncultured prokaryote. Its description in RNAcentral is "bacterial SSU rRNA". It matches the Rfam family "Bacterial small subunit ribosomal RNA", at positions 355 to 774 of the family's 1533-position model. The record is from RNAcentral.
UAGGGAAUAUUAGUAAUGGGCGAAAGCCUGAACUAGCAACACCGCGUGUGCGAAGAAGGCCUUCGGGUUGUAAAGCACUUUUUGGAAGGAUUAGGAAGGAAUGUACUUCCAGAAUAAGUCUCGGCUAACUACGUGCCGGCAGCCGCGGUAACACGUAGGAGGCAAACGUUAUCCGGAUUUACUGGGCGUAAAGCGCGUGUAGGUGGUUCUGUAAGUAGGGCGUGAAAGCUCCUGGCUCAACUGGGAGAGGCCGUUCUAAACUGCAGAGCUAGAGGAUGGUAGAGGGAGGUGGAAUUCCGGGUGUAGCGGUGGAAUGCGCAGAUAUCCGGAGGAACACCAGUGGCGAAAGCGGCCUCCUGGACCAUUCCUGACACUCAGACGCGAAAGCUAGGGUAGCGAACA